AUACUUACUUGGUAGGGGAGAUACCAAGAUCACAAAGUUGGUUUGCCAGGGCGAGGCUUAUUCAGUACACUCCAGGUGUGCUGACCCCUGCGAUUUCCCCAAAUGUGGGAAGCUCGACUGCAUACUUUGUGGUAGCGAGGAACUGUGUUCGUGCUCUCCCCUU
Non-coding RNA from Pongo abelii (Sumatran orangutan), 163 nucleotides. The record is from Rfam. Lineage: Eukaryota; Metazoa; Chordata; Mammalia; Primates; Hominidae.